UGCAUAAUCAUUAGUCUUUUAAUUUGAGACUGGAAUGAAAGAGUAAACCGGGAGAAUUUUUUUUCAGUUGAGAAAAUGAAUUUUACUUUUUAGUAAGAAGGCUAAAAUUUAACUUUUAGACAAGAAGACCCUAUAAAACUUUAUAUUUUUAUUUCUUAGUUGAAAGAAGAAGUAUUUCGCUGGGGCGGUGGAGGAAAGCCCUUCCUUUAAAAAAAUAAACUUUCUUGUUUAAAUACCUAGAAAUUCUAAAUUAGAAAUAAGUUACUUUAGGGAUAACAGCUUAAUUUACUUAGAAAGAUCAAAUUGACAAGUAAGAUUAUGACCUCGAUGUUGAAUUAAAAGACCUUUUUGUGCMMAAGCUAAAAA
RNAcentral lists this ribosomal RNA (366 nucleotides) under Androctonus amoreuxi. RNAcentral describes it as "partial 16S ribosomal RNA". The record is from RNAcentral. Lineage: Eukaryota; Metazoa; Arthropoda; Arachnida; Scorpiones; Buthidae.